CCCGCGACAAGCGGAGGAGCAUGUGGUUAAUUCGAUGAUACGCGAGGAACCUUACCUGGGCUCGAACGUAAGAUGACUGUAGGUGAAAGCUUACAUCUCUUCGGAGCAUUUUACGAGGUGCUGCAUGGUUGUCGUCAGCUCGUGCCGUGAGGUGUCGGGUUAAGUCCCAUAACGAGCGCAACCCCUACCUUUAGUUGCCAUCAGGUUAAGCUGGGGACUCUAAGGAACUGCCUACGCAAGUAGUGAGGAAGCGGGGAUGACGUCAAAUCAGCACGGCCCUUACGUCCAGGGCUACACACGUGCUACAAUGGCCGAUACAGAGGGCAGCUACCUGGUGACAGGAUGCAAAUCUCCAAAGUCGGUCUCAGUUCGGAUCGGAGUCUGCAACCCGACUCCGUGAAGUUGGAUUCGCUAGUAAUCGCGCAUCAGCCAUGGCGCGGUGAAUACGUUCCCGGGCCUU
This 460-nucleotide ribosomal RNA is filed under the name uncultured Sphingobacteriales bacterium. RNAcentral's name for it is "bacterial SSU rRNA". It matches the Rfam family "Bacterial small subunit ribosomal RNA", at positions 920 to 1382 of the family's 1533-position model. The record is from RNAcentral. Lineage: Bacteria; Pseudomonadati; Bacteroidota; Sphingobacteriia; Sphingobacteriales.